Molecule: long non-coding RNA, 398 nt
Organism: Callorhinchus milii (elephant shark)
Lineage: Eukaryota; Metazoa; Chordata; Chondrichthyes; Chimaeriformes; Callorhinchidae
Exons: 4
Source: RefSeq, a predicted model, not a curated record
CUCAGUGUGAGCUCACUUCUGUCUGUGUUUGAUUUCAUCAGGAGGAAGCUGCUCGGAAGAAAAGGCAGGAAGAAAAUAAUCUGGGUGAUGGUGGACUGAAGCGACUGAGUGAGGCUCUGCUGAAACCGAAGUUUAAAAUACAGGUUCUGGAGCUGCAGGACCGUAAUCUGGGAGAUUGCGGAGUGAAGCAACUGUGUGAGGAUUUGAGGAAACUGGAGUGCAAAAUACCGACGCUAUGGGUGAGGGACAUAGAUCUGACAACUGAUAGCACGGAGGAAAUGUCCUGCGAUCUCAGAAUAAACCAAAAACUGACGGAGCUGAACUUGAAUUAUAAGAAUCUGGGAGUUCGUGGAGUGAAGCGACUGUGUGAGGCUCUGAGGAAACCGAAGUGUAAAAUA